GAUAAUCAACUGAAGUCGCCGUUUCGCCUUCCUAUCGAGGGUGAGGAUGUGAAGAAAAAAUGUGAAUCUACUCGAUGGAGGGACUUAGUUCGCCCCUCCACCUCCGAUUCUUCCGCCGCCGAGCUGACGGCAACUUCUUCCCCAAAAGUUGCCUUUCUUCCCCUCAGCAGUCCGGUCCGGAAGCGGAGGUCCGGCAGGUGCGCAGCAUGACCGGCGGGUGCUGCCUGUGACGCGACCUGUGCGCAGCCUCAGCGCCGUCACAGCCCGUAUCGACCAGAGGUAAUUCUCACAGAUCGCGCUGUCUUUCGGGCCGAGGUGACGCGUGCGGGGCCCGGUAUCUCCUCAAUCCCGGUGGCCUCGAUUCACGCGUCGGCAAACGGCGGAGAAGCGCGCGCGCACACGUCGGGGCUGUCGCUCGCGCGCUGGAUGCGUUCGGCUGGGUCUUUGGGCUGGGAAUGAAGCCUCUCUCUGAGUCUGUGGUUCUAAAAGCUGCAACCCUCCCCUCUUCUCCCCCUCUCCUCCCCUCUGCGGACCCCCCACCCCCCUUUUGCUUAUAUGGAUGACUUGUCAGACAAAGGCAAUAGAUGCCAACACUGUGUGAUUCGCCAACGCAAAAAACUGGAGGUCCAAAUGAGGAGGUCUCUGGGUCUGACACAACGACAGGAAGGGGAGGGAGAUAAAUAAGGAAUAGAUGUGGAGUUACAAAUAUCAGAGUUUAUCACUCAUUAUAUCCGCUGCGAAUAGCGUGCGCGCACACCGGAAGUUUUGAAUCAAAAGUAGAGAUUUUUUUCAAAUGUAUCUUCUACUUUUCCCGGAUUAGCAGCCUGUUUCUGGGAAUUCAACGGUCAUCUGUGUGUACAGGUCUCCGAACAAUCCGGAUUCAGCUCGAUCUUCCCACAAUUCACUUUCCUAAUUUUUCUUUUUUGACAACAUCAUCAGCUUUCCUCGGGAAAACAAGUGCACUGACUCUAUUAUAUGCAGAUGAUGUGAGAGUCGCGGUGCGUCGCCCAAACUGGAAGCAGCGACCAUACUUGGAGGUUGGAGUUGAUAUCAGUCUGGAUGCACCGUGGGAAAAGUUGAGUCCUUCACAGUCAGUAGGAACUGAACCCAUGCGAUGAAUCUGGAGCAGUUCAGCACCGCAGCUUAAUUCUCAGCCAGAGGAAACAUGGAGUAAACCAGUCAUCAACUAGAAAAGCUUUGCUUUCUUAAAGCUGUCAAGCAUUUCGAUCUCAGUUGACCGUCAGCCGGAGCUGAACCUGCGCGAGCACCGUCUGUCAGAGCCUCCAAAGCUCCGGCAGAUGGAGACCACGAGAGACUGACAAGCUACAAGUGCCUCCGACUGCUGCUCGCCAGGAGUUUGUAUCUGACAGCCGACAGUUUUAGCCCUGAGUGAUUCCGUCUUGAUGGACAGGCAGAGCCGACGCCGGAGUCACUGCAGCUUCACAUCCAGGUGAAACAACCAGCUCAUCACGGAGGGAAGUCCAAACAGAAACAGGGGUUUUCAUCAAUUUGUGUGUUUGAAAGGAUCCGUGGUUCUCACUCCCACCUCCAGACAGGCCCUGCUUUUAAAAAUGCAGCCACAUCAGCAUCAUGCGAAAACGGAGGCAUAACCAGCAGAUAAGGAAAUGAAACUGUCAUCUGACAACAAUGAAAAAUAUUCAGUUUGCCUUUUGUAUCAUACUCAAAAAGAUAAUUGAGACGGAUGAAUUAGCGGUGCCCCAAGGUCAAGCGCUCAUUGCCAGUCUAUCGUUUCACUCUGGUGAAACUGUUCCUACGGACACUUUUUCUUGAUAUUUGGUACAUGGACACCAGGAGACUGAGUGGGGGGGGGCACAAAUUGAUUGUUUGGGGAUCAGAUCAGUCACCGUCAUUUCUGGCGGAUGGAUUAAUGGGUCUGAUGGCAGUUGCAGGUUGGAGCAGAGGACUGUCUGGAGACAACGGGGACGGGCUUGAACCCCAGGGAGCUGGAUGAAUGUGGGCUUGCUUGGUUGUGUUUAGGGGGGAGGGGCUGGUGAAAAAUGUAUGGUGGAGUUCGGUGCAUCUCACUUUUGUGUCUUUUGCAUCUGAAGUGUUUGUUAAGAUAUAUGUAAACUUUCUCUCUUACAAAAAGGCUGGAUU
Betta splendens (Siamese fighting fish) is the source of this 2118-nucleotide long non-coding RNA. Lineage: Eukaryota; Metazoa; Chordata; Actinopteri; Anabantiformes; Osphronemidae. The record is from Ensembl.